Molecule: non-coding RNA, 2002 nt
Organism: Theobroma cacao (cacao)
Lineage: Eukaryota; Viridiplantae; Streptophyta; Magnoliopsida; Malvales; Malvaceae
Source: RefSeq, a predicted model, not a curated record
UUUUUAUUCACAAGAAAAAAAAAUCAUUCAUUUUUCAUGGGAUAUUUUAAUGCAAAUAGGCAAUCGGGGGUUUCUCCCGUAGACUGAAAUUAAUCUGUGUAAACAGCUACUCCGACAGCGGGUUAAGGUUUUGACCACUUUGGAAUCCGGACAAAGUGAGCCCGCUUUUACUUUUCUUUUCUUGUUUCUUGACCAACGAACAGAGCAGAGAAGCAACAAGAGGCAAAAAAUAUGGCGCUUUCCACAUCUAUGAAUUCCUUCUCCACAAUCCCCAAAGCCUCUCCUAGAAACCCAAUAAUCUUCAACCUCCUCAGAACUCCAUCAUUGAAACCCCACCUCAAACUCAACCCCAUUUCAAAACCCUCUUCUCUUUCUCUUUUCUAUCAACCAUCCAAUUUAAGACCCAAAACUCAAUGUUUCCAAAGCACCACGAUCCGCUCCCUCUUCACCGGCAUCGUCGAAGAAAUGGGUGAAAUCAAGCAACUGGGUAUGGCCGAUCAUGGCGGAUUCGAUCUCAAAAUACGCGCCAAAACCAUAGUAGAAGAUGUCAAGCUUGGUGACAGCAUUGCCGUUAACGGAACUUGCCUAACAGUAACGGAUUUCGAUACUCGUUUGGGAGAAUUCAUGGUUGGGUUGGCCCCUGAAACCCUGAGGAAAACUUCAUUGAGUGAAUUGGAAUCCGGGUCAUUGGUGAAUUUGGAGCGGGCUAUACAGCCCACGGGCCGGAUGGGGGGCCAUUUCGUGCAGGGACAUGUGGACGGGACGGGGGAGAUAGUGGGGAAGGAGGUGGAGGGGGACUCCUUGUGGAUUAAGGUUAAGGUUGAUAAGAGUUUGUUGAAAUAUGUGGUGCCCAAAGGGUUCAUAGCUGUGGAUGGAACUAGUUUGACUGUGGUGGAUGUGUUUGAAGAGGAACUUUGUUUCAAUUUUAUGUUAGUAGCUUAUACUCAACAGAAAGUGGUGAUUCCUUUAAAGGAAGUUGGGCAAAAGGUGAAUUUGGAGGUGGAUAUUCUUGGCAAGUAUGUAGAGAGGCUUCUCAGCAGUGGUUUUGUUGAUUCCAUUAAAGGUUCAUGAAAUGCAGAAAGCGACAAAGGUUUGGUUUUUCUGGGUUUAAUGUAUCCUUAGUUUUUGUUUUUAUUUUGUUGAGUCUGAGGUAAUUUGAUGUUCAGUAGUUUCUACUAUAUUUAGGAUUCGAAAGGAGCAGAUUGAGUAAUGAUUCGUAUGUUGUAGCAGAAUCGAUUGUGUCAGUGCAGCGAUAUAGCUGUAUUUGGAAUGAUUAGGUGAAGGACAUCAGUGCCAUAGCCCGUGAAUCUGUUUUUGUUAGCUCUUGUGGACGGUGUCUAUUGUUAAAUGCCUGAUUUCUGCAUGUCUUAUUGGAUAGGCUUGACUGACUGAUGGUGACUGGGGACAAAGAAGUGGGAUAGUUGUUCUAAAGCUUUUGGGAUGAUAACCUUGUUAAUCGUGAAAGUUGCCUAUAUCAGUUAGACAGACAGACAGGCAUUUUGUAUCAGUUGCUAUUCUUCCAAUAUAUUUUCCAUUGCAGCUGAAAUUUCAGUGGUUCUGCUUGUCUUUUUUCGCCAGUUGUGUUAUAUGUGUGUGGACACCUAAGUGAUGGAGCUGGGCUCUGUUAAUAAUGAGUCAGUUGGAGGCAGUCUCAUUUGGCUUUACUUCGGUGCUUCCCGGCUCCCCCAACACCGGAAAGACAUCGAAGGGGCCAAAGUCUGAAGUGUGUAAUAAAAUUUUUUAAGAUCCAGAGGCAAGAAGUUUCAAAUAUUUCAUUUCAACAAAGGGUGCCUGGGGAUGACCUAAAUAACUAAAGCUUCUUCAUUCAAGAUCUUGAAUUAAGUCUAUUUCUUUGAUCAACAUUCAAGUAAAGUUGCAUUGAUCUUGCCACAUGUUUACUUUACUUUUUCUUGGAUGAACAAAAAUGGAAUAGUGUUUUAUUUUUUGAAGGCGAAAUGGAUCAAUAUAUAUGAAGGUGUUGAAAUAAAUUAAAAUGUGUUUA